This 270-nucleotide ribosomal RNA is filed under the name uncultured archaeon. RNAcentral describes it as "partial 16S ribosomal RNA". It matches the Rfam family "Archaeal small subunit ribosomal RNA", at positions 477 to 747 of the family's 1478-position model. The record is from RNAcentral.
CAGCUCUACGAGUGGUAGGAAUGAUUAUUGGGCUUAAAGCGUCCGUAGCCUGCUGAGCAAGUUUCCUGUUAAAUUCAGCGACCUAAUCGUUGAGCCGCGGGAAAUACUACUAGGCUAGGAGGCGGGAGAGGUCAACGGUACUUCCGGGGUAGGGGUGAAAUCCUAUAAUCCCGGGAGGACCACCAGUGGCGAAGGCUGUUGACUAGAACGCGCUAGACGGUGAGGGACGAAAGCUGGGGGAGCGAACCGGAUUAGAUACCCGAGUAGUCC